UACGUAGGGGGCAAGCGUUGUCCGGAAUCAUUGGGCGUAAAGCGCGCGUAGGCGGCUAGAUCAGUCUGCUGUAAAAGUCAAAGGCUCAACCUUUGAAAGCCGGUGGAUACUGUCUAGCUAGAGUCCGGAAGAGGCGAGUGGAAUUCCUGGUGUAGCGGUGAAAUGCGUAGAUAUCUGGAGGAACACCGGUGGCGAAGGCGGCAUCCUGGACCGGCAUUGACGCUGAGGCGCGAAAGCUGGGGGAGCGAACGGG
RNAcentral lists this ribosomal RNA (253 nucleotides) under uncultured bacterium. Its description in RNAcentral is "partial 16S ribosomal RNA". It matches the Rfam family "Bacterial small subunit ribosomal RNA", at positions 524 to 776 of the family's 1533-position model. The record is from RNAcentral.